RNAcentral lists this ribosomal RNA (492 nucleotides) under uncultured bacterium. RNAcentral's name for it is "partial 16S ribosomal RNA". It matches the Rfam family "Bacterial small subunit ribosomal RNA", at positions 29 to 507 of the family's 1533-position model. The record is from RNAcentral.
AUUGAACGCUGGCGGCAUGCUUUACACAUGCAAGUCGAACGGUAACAGGCCUUCGGGUGCUGACGAGUGGCGAACGGGUGCGUAAUGCAUCGGAACGUACCCAGAGGUGGGGGAUAACGCAGCGAAAGCUGUGCUAAUACCGCAUGUGAUCUGAGGAUGAAAGCGGGGGACCGAGCAGCAAUGUUUGGCCUCGCGCCUUUGGAGCGGCCGAUGUCGGAUUAGCUAGUUGGUGGGGUAAAGGCCUACCAAGGCGACGAUCCGUAGCUGGUCUGAGAGGACGAGCAGCCACACUGGGACUGAGACACGGCCCAGACUCCUACGGGAGGCAGCAGUGGGGAAUUUUGGACAAUGGGCGCAAGCCUGAUCCAGCGAUGCCGCGUGCGGGAAGAAGGCCUUCGGGUUGUAAACCGCUUUUGGCAGGAACGAAACGGUGUCCGCUAAUACCGGGCGCUAAUGACGGUACCUGCAGAAUAAGCACCGGCUAACUACGUG